RNAcentral lists this ribosomal RNA (1182 nucleotides) under uncultured organism. RNAcentral describes it as "bacterial SSU rRNA". It matches the Rfam family "Bacterial small subunit ribosomal RNA", at positions 15 to 1153 of the family's 1533-position model. The record is from RNAcentral.
GAUCCUGGCUCAGAACGAACGCUAGCGGCGUGGAUUAGGUAUGCAAGUCGAACGGGAACUUUGCGGAUGAUCCUUCGGGUGAAACUGCUUAGGAAACGUGGCGAAAGGGUGAGUAACGGAUAGACAAUCUACCCUCAACACCGGGAUAAUCCAUCGAAAGGUGAAGUAAUACCGGAUGGUAUACUGUUUCUACGGAGACAGUAUUAAAGGGGGCUUCGGCUUCCGGUUGAGGAGGAGUCUAUUUCCUAUUAGCUUGUUGGUGCGGUAACGGCGCACCAAGGCUGUGAUGGGUAGGGGGCCUUAGCGGGUGGCCCUCCACACUGGGACUGAGACACUGCCCAGGUUCCUACGGGAGGCUGCAAUCGAGAAUCCUCCGCAAUGGGCGAAAGCCUGACGGGGUGACGCCGCGUGACCGAUGAAGGCUCUUACGGGUCGUAAAGGUCUUACAGGGAGUAUGAAAUAUACUGGGGCUAAUAUCUCCAGUAUUUGACGUCAAUCUCAAAUGAAGUCACGGCUAAAUUUGUGCCAGCAGCCGCGGUAAGACAAAUGUGGCAAGCGUUGUUCGGAAUCACUGGGCAUAAAGGGCACGUAGGCGGCGUAGUAAGUUAACUGUGAAAUCCCCCGGCUCAACCGGGGAACUGCAGUUAAUACUGCUGUGCUAGAGUGCAGAAGAGGAGAGUGGAAUUCUAGGUGUAGCGGUGGAAUGCGAAGAUAUCUAGGAGAAGGCCGGUGGCGAAAGCGACUCUCUGGUCUGUUACUGACGCUGAGGUGCGAGAGCGCAGGUAGCGAACGGGAUUAGAUACCCCGGUAGUCUGUGCCGUAAACGAUGGGCACUAGAUGGUGGAGGCGCCGAUAGCUUUCUCCGUCGCAGCUAAUACGUUAAGUGCCCCGCCUGGGGAGUAUGGCUGCAAGGUUAAAACUCAAAGGAAUUGACGGGGGCCCACACAAGCGGUGGAGGAUGUUGGCUUAAUUCGAGGAUACCCGUAAAACCUUACCGAGGCUUGACAUGNCAAGGUGGUUUAAGUGAAGUUGGAAAGCGGGAACGACCCGAAUAGGGAGCACUGCACAAGGUGCUGCAUGCUGUCGACAGCUCGUGUCGUGAGAUGUUAGUUAAGUCUGUAACGAGCGAAACCUUGUGCUUAAUUGCCAGCGCGUUAUGGCGGGGACCUUAAGCAGACUGCC